GAUGAAGAACGUAGCGAAAUGCGAUAAGUAAUGUGAAUUGCAGAAUUCAGUGAAUCAUCGAAUCUUUGAACGCACAUUGCGCCCGCCAGUAUUCUGGCGGGCAUGCCUGUUCGAGCGUCAUUACAGCCCUCAGGCCCCCGGGCCUGGCGUUGGGGAUCGGCGGAAGCCCCCUGUGGGCACACGCCGUCCCUCAAAUACAGUGGCGGUCCCGCCGCAGCUUCCAUUGCGUAGUAGCUAACACCUCGCAACUGGAGAGCGGCGCGGCCAUGCCGUAAAACACCCAACUUCUGAAUGUUGACCUCGAAUCAGGUAGGAAUACCCGCUGAACUUAAGCAUAUCAAUAAGCGGAGGA
Molecule: unclassified non-coding RNA, 352 nt
Filed under: soil metagenome
Description: partial contains 5.8S ribosomal RNA, internal transcribed spacer 2, and large subunit ribosomal RNA
Rfam family: 5.8S ribosomal RNA (bases 1-120)
Source: RNAcentral